Saccostrea echinata is the source of this 822-nucleotide long non-coding RNA. RefSeq lists it as uncharacterized. The transcript has 3 exons. NCBI's taxonomy places the organism in Eukaryota, Metazoa, Mollusca, Bivalvia, Ostreida, Ostreidae. The record is from RefSeq and is a predicted model, not a curated record.
CUAAGUAUCCAUCAACCAGAGUGAUUAUUGAUUGUACAGAACUUUUCAUUCAAUCAUCAAGUAGCCUAAUAAAUCAAAGCCUAACAUUUUCUAACUACAAGCAUCAUACUACUGUUAAAUUUCUAGUCGGUAUUAGUCCAUCUGGAGUAAUUACUUUUGUUUCUGAUGCAUGGCCAGGAAAAACUUCAGACCGUCAGCUAACUGAGGAAUGUGGCCUACUUCAGUUACUUGAGCCUAGUGACAGUGUAAUGGCAGACAAAGGCUUCACCAUAGCUGACUUACUUGAAAAAAGACAAUGUUCCUUAAACAUUCCACCAUUCCGAGGCACUUCUAACCAGUUUUCAACAGAUGAAGUCUUCAAGACCCAGGAGAUUGCCCAACUUCGGAUUCAUGUUGAAAGGAGCAUUGGGCGUGUGAAGAACUUUCAUGUCUUAGAAGGAGUGAUCCCCCUUACAAUGGUCCACUUCAUCACGAAGAUUUUCCAAGUCUGCUGUUGGCUGACCAAUCUGGAUUAUCCGCUUGUUGAUGGGAAAAAGAUUUCCACUGAUGAAUCAUAACUCUCUAAGUACAAUGGGUGCACAGAUGUCUCAACUUCCACUUCAACUUCCACAGAACUAGGUACAUUGGAGUCUGGAAUAUUCCAGAGAUGAGCCAUACCUAGACAACAAAGAUUUUAUUAUUGAAUCACUGCAUAAAAUGCUAAAUACUUUACUCCUCUAAUCAUUUAUUUAAUUUUAAGAUAUAUUAUACAUCUUUUACCUAUUCAAAAAUUAUUUAAAAUUAUAUUUGUAUCUUUUAAUGUAUUUACCUCAUAAUAUUAUA